AUCAUUUCGUGCCUUGCAUAUAUUAAGAUCAUGUAGUAUCUGUUCUUAUUUAUUAUUGAUUUAUAUGAACCUCUAUAUGAGGACUACAUAUUAAGCAGAUUUUGGCAUGAGGGCAGUAAUUUGUUUGCCUCUUUCUUCCACGCAUUGACCUACAUUGCAGUGCUGCUGGGAACGGUGCACUCUGU
This is a small nuclear RNA of Hippoglossus stenolepis (Pacific halibut), 185 nucleotides long. RefSeq annotates it as U2 spliceosomal RNA. The record is from RefSeq and is a predicted model, not a curated record. NCBI's taxonomy places the organism in Eukaryota, Metazoa, Chordata, Actinopteri, Pleuronectiformes, Pleuronectidae. The transcript has a single exon.